AUACAACUUUCAGCAACGGAUCUCUUGGCUCUCGCAUCGAUGAAGAACGCAGCGAAAUGCGAUAAGUAAUGUGAAUUGCAGAAUUCAGUGAAUCAUCGAAUCUUUGAACGCACCUUGCGCUCCUUGGUAUUCCGAGGAGCAUGCCUGUUUGAGUGUCAUUAAAUUCUCA
Molecule: ribosomal RNA, 169 nt
Filed under: Chlorophyllum sp. AZ80
Lineage: Eukaryota; Fungi; Basidiomycota; Agaricomycetes; Agaricales; Agaricaceae
Description: 5.8S ribosomal RNA
Rfam family: 5.8S ribosomal RNA
About the family: 5.8S ribosomal RNA (5.8S rRNA) is a component of the large subunit of the eukaryotic ribosome.
Source: RNAcentral